RNAcentral lists this ribosomal RNA (440 nucleotides) under uncultured bacterium. RNAcentral describes it as "partial 16S ribosomal RNA". It matches the Rfam family "Bacterial small subunit ribosomal RNA", at positions 338 to 795 of the family's 1533-position model. The record is from RNAcentral.
CCUACGGGCUGCAGCAGUAGGGAAUAUUGCUCAAUGGGGGAAACCCUGAAGCAGCAACGCCGCGUGGAGGAUGAAGGUUUUCGGAUUGUAAACUCCUUUUGUUAGAGAAGAUAAUGACGGUAUCUAACGAAUAAGCACCGGCUAACUCCGUGCCAGCAGCCGCGGUAAUACGGAGGGUGCAAGCGUUACUCGGAAUCACUGGGCGGAAAGAGCGCGUAGGCGGGAUAGCAAGUCAGAUGUGAAAUCCUAUGGCUUAACCAUAGAACUGCAUUUGAAAAUGUUAUUCUAGAGUAUGGGAGAGGUAGGUGGAAUUCUUGGUGUAGGGGUAAAAUCCGUAGAGAUCAAGAGGAAUACUCAUUGCGAAGGCGACCUGCUAGAACAUAACUGACGCUGAUGCGCGAAAGCGUGGGGAGCAAACAGGAUUAGAUACCCCUGUAGUC